This 359-nucleotide ribosomal RNA is filed under the name uncultured Acholeplasma sp. Its description in RNAcentral is "bacterial SSU rRNA". It matches the Rfam family "Bacterial small subunit ribosomal RNA", at positions 1024 to 1382 of the family's 1533-position model. The record is from RNAcentral. Lineage: Bacteria; Bacillati; Mycoplasmatota; Mollicutes; Acholeplasmatales; Acholeplasmataceae.
UUCGGGGAGGACAGGUGGUGCAUGGUUGUCGUCAGCUCGUGUCGUGAGAUGUUGGGUUUAAGUCCCGCAACGAGCGCAACCCCUAUUGCUAGUUACCAUCAUUAAGUUUGGGGACUCUAGCGAGACUGCCAGUGAUAAACUGGAGGAAGGUGGGGAUGACGUCAAAUCAUCAUGCCCCUUAUGACCUGGGCUACAAACGUGAUACAAUGGCUGGAACAAAGGGAUGCGAAGCAGUGAUGUGGAGCGAAACCCAUAAAAACAGUCUCAGUUCGGAUUAAAGUCUGCAACUCGACUUCAUGAAGUCGGAAUCGCUAGUAAUCGCGGAUCAGAACGCCGCGGUGAAUACGUUCUCGGGGUUU